GCUGGCGGCAUGCCUAACACAUGCAAGUCGAACGAGAAAGUUCCUUCGGGAGCGAUUAAAGUGGCGCACGGGUGAGUAACGCGUAGACAAUCUGCCCUUCAGUCUGGGACAACUUUUCGAAAGGAGAGCUAAUACCGGAUAACAAUGUUUAACCUAAGUUAAGUAUUUGAAAGCUUUAUGUGCUGAAGGAGGGGUCUGCGUCCCAUUAGCUAGUUGGUAAGGUAAAGGCUUACCAAGGCGACGAUGGGUAGCGGGUUUGAGAGGACGAUCCGCCACACUGGAACUGAGACACGGUCCAGACUCCUACGGGAGGCAGCAGUGGGGAAUAUUGCACAAUGGAGGCAACUCUGAUGCAGCAAUGUCGCGUGAGUGAAGAAGGCCCUUGGGUCGUAAAGCUCUUUUAUGGGGGAAGAUGAUGACGGUACCCCAAGAAUAAGCACCGGCUAACUAUGUGCCAGCAGCCGCGGUAAUACAUAGGGUGCGAGCGUUGUUCGGAAUUACUGGGCGUAAAGGGCGCGCAGGCGGAAUAGUAAGUCGGAGGUGAAAGCCCGGGGCUCAACCCCGGAGGGUCUUUCGAAACUGCUAAUCUAGAGAGGGUCAGGGGCCGGCAGAAUUCCUGGUGUAGAGGUGAAAUUCGUAGAUAUCAGGAGGAAUACCGGUGGCGAAGGCGGCCGGCUGGGGCCACUCUGACGCUGAGGCGCGAAAGCGUGGGGAGCAAACAGGAUUAGAUACCCUGGUAGUCCACGCCGUAAACGAUGAGCACUGGACGUCCGGAGGGUUCGACCCUUCUGGGUGUUUCAGCUAACGCAUUAAGUGCUCCGCCUGGGGAGUAC
Molecule: ribosomal RNA, 833 nt
Filed under: uncultured Pseudomonadota bacterium
Lineage: Bacteria; Pseudomonadati; Pseudomonadota
Description: bacterial SSU rRNA
Rfam family: Bacterial small subunit ribosomal RNA
Source: RNAcentral